UUUACGACCAUAUCAGGUUGAAACACCGAUUAUGGCACGAUCACCGAAGUUAAGCAACGUCGAGCCGGGUCCGUACCAAGCUGGGUGACCACUUGGGAACACCAAGGGCUGCAA
Acanthosepion pharaonis is the source of this 114-nucleotide non-coding RNA. Lineage: Eukaryota; Metazoa; Mollusca; Cephalopoda; Sepiida; Sepiidae. The record is from the annotation of a GenBank genome assembly.